CUACUAAUUUAGAUGGAUCAAUUCUAUCUUGACUUACACACCGACUUUAAUAAAUACUUGACUGCACCCAGUAUCCUUCUGUUACUAAAUUAGAAACUCAGAUAGUCUGAUACUAAAGUACAGUGAGUUGCUUUUAAGUCACCGUAGUGAUCUCAAAUCUGAGAGACACUUAUACCCAUAUCCUUCACGAGCUACUCUUGACAGCAGAGUGCUCGAUAAAUAGUCACGUUCGAUAUGAAUGUACUCCU
RNAcentral lists this long non-coding RNA (248 nucleotides) under Elaeis guineensis (African oil palm). RNAcentral describes it as "long non-coding RNA (EGUI_LNC077610)". Lineage: Eukaryota; Viridiplantae; Streptophyta; Magnoliopsida; Arecales; Arecaceae. The record is from RNAcentral.